Molecule: ribosomal RNA, 491 nt
Filed under: uncultured bacterium
Lineage: Bacteria
Description: bacterial SSU rRNA
Rfam family: Bacterial small subunit ribosomal RNA
Source: RNAcentral
GAUCAUGGCUCAGGAUGAACGCUAGCGGCAGGCCUAACACAUGCAAGUCGAGGGGUAGAGUUCUUCGGGACUUAAGACCGGCGCACGGGUGCGUAACGCGUAUGCAAUCUACCUUAUACAGGGGAAUAGCCCAGAGAAAUUUGGAUUAAUGCCCCAUAGUGUUAUCGAAUCGCAUGGUUUGAUAACUAAAGUUCCAACGGUAUAAGAUGAGCAUGCGUCCCAUUAGUUAGUUGGUAAGGUAACGGCUUACCAAGACAAUGAUGGGUAGGGGUCCUGAGAGGGAGAUCCCCCACACUGGUACUGAGACACGGACCAGACUCCUACGGGAGGCAGCAGUGAGGAAUAUUGGACAAUGGGCGCAAGCCUGAUCCAGCCAUGCCGCGUGCAGGAUGACGGUCCUAUGGAUUGUAAACUGCUUUUGUACAGGAAGAAACACUCCCUCGUGAGGGAGCUUGACGGUACUGUAAGAAUAAGGAUCGGCUAACUCCGUG